GUGGUAGCGAGCCUGCUCGCGAAGGCGUCGUGUCAGUCAGCAAAUGGGUUAACUGACACACGGCUUUCGCGAGCAGGCUCGCUCCCAC
This 88-nucleotide unclassified non-coding RNA is filed under the name Pseudomonas koreensis. Lineage: Bacteria; Pseudomonadati; Pseudomonadota; Gammaproteobacteria; Pseudomonadales; Pseudomonadaceae. The record is from RNAcentral.